CCGUGCUAGACGGGGAGCUAGCGGUGCCUUGUAACCCGAAAUCCGCUUAUGCGGGGUCGAAAAGCCCCGGUGAGGAUUUCAAUCCGACAAGGAUCCGAAUCGAUCGGAUUCAGAGGUGGACCCCACGUGACAGGCGGUUAUGAACCCCGUCAGGUCCGGAAGGAAGCAGCGGUAAGUAAUUUAGCCUGUGUCGUGUUGCUCUCUACCUUUUCCCCUCGAGGAGGACUUGUCGGGAGUUGGAUUCGAACGGGGAUGCGCGG
Molecule: signal recognition particle RNA, 260 nt
Filed under: Desulfobacteraceae bacterium
Lineage: Bacteria; Pseudomonadati; Thermodesulfobacteriota; Desulfobacteria; Desulfobacterales; Desulfobacteraceae
Description: signal recognition particle sRNA large type
Rfam family: Bacterial large signal recognition particle RNA
About the family: The signal recognition particle (SRP) is a universally conserved ribonucleoprotein involved in the co-translational targeting of proteins to membranes. Archaeal SRP consists of a 7S RNA and homologues of the eukaryotic SRP19 and SRP54 proteins.
Source: RNAcentral